RNAcentral lists this ribosomal RNA (244 nucleotides) under uncultured bacterium. Its description in RNAcentral is "partial 16S ribosomal RNA". It matches the Rfam family "Bacterial small subunit ribosomal RNA", at positions 57 to 305 of the family's 1533-position model. The record is from RNAcentral.
GCAAGUCGAACGGUAACAGAACUAGCUUGCUAGUUGCUGACGAGUGGCGGACGGGUGAGUAAUGCUUGGGAAUUUGCCUUUAGGUGGGGGACAACAGUUGGAAACGACUGCUAAUACCGCAUAAUGUCUACGGACCAAAGGGGGCUUCGGCUCUCGCCUUUAGAUUGGCCCAAGUGGGAUUAGCUAGUUGGUGAGGUAAAGGCUCACCAAGCCCACGAUCCCUAGCUGGUCUGAGAGGAUGAUC